Molecule: long non-coding RNA, 587 nt
Organism: Mesocricetus auratus (golden hamster)
Lineage: Eukaryota; Metazoa; Chordata; Mammalia; Rodentia; Cricetidae
Exons: 3
Source: RefSeq, a predicted model, not a curated record
GCCGGGUCCUUGACUGCAUCAUGAGAGCUUUCUGGACCACAUCUCAGAGCAGUUGAAUGUAACCUUGUUCUACAUUCCUGUGCUCACUGGAUACAACUUGCUGACAUCUGAUCUCUAUAACUGUUAACUUCUUGACUCUAAUGGCAAAGAAGAUCCGCUUGUAGCAAACCUUGGUUUACCAGAUGUCUCUAAGUGCUACAUGUUGGAGUCACAGGAGCCCACGGAGGCCAGAACAGACCACCCAAUCCCGUGAAGAUGAAGUUGCAGGCAGAUUCUGUGGGUGCCGGGUCUUCUGCAAGAGCAGCAUGCACUCCUAACCACUCAACCAGCGCUCCCGCUCCAACACACAGUUUCUUAAAGGAUUGGUUGCUGACGUCCACUCAGAUGUCUCUGCUCUAGAGAAUUCAUCAUGGAGAAUGUCAAGAGAACCCAUCUGUGUAUUUCCAACAUUUGAUCCACACACAUUAUAAAUCCUUUUAGCUUGAGAGUUACCUUCAUUACAUCGUGUCAUUCAUUUCUAGAGCAACAAUAAGAGGAAGGAUAAUUGUUUCCAUUUUACAGCUUAGGAAAUGGGCACCCUAAGUGGU